Nicotiana attenuata is the source of this 447-nucleotide long non-coding RNA. RefSeq lists it as uncharacterized. The record is from RefSeq and is a predicted model, not a curated record. NCBI's taxonomy places the organism in Eukaryota, Viridiplantae, Streptophyta, Magnoliopsida, Solanales, Solanaceae. The transcript is spliced from 2 exons.
GUUGGUAAAGAUGCUAUCUCAUCUCUUUCCUAUUUUAAUCACUAUUAUUGCCGAAUCUUUGGACCCUCCCACUCCAUCAGACAUUGAAACAAGCCACACUCAAUUCAGUAUGACUCUACCACCACUCACUCCUACAUCAACAUUCUGCUCCUAAAGCUUCUCAUUCACUCAUUCUUUCACAAGGGAAACAACUCUCUGCAGGGAUCGGAGUACAAGAAGCAGACAGAUCCUCAGAAGGAUUUUACAUUUGAUCAGGCAUAACAGUCAUAUUGAAGAAUUCAGCAAUUUCAGAUGGAUUAGUGAUCUUCUUUUCUUUCAUGUAGUGUUGACACAGAAACUUGUGAAAUUAAAAUAUGAGCAGAAAAGGUCUCACAUUCUCAACUUGUCCACUUUCAGCAAGUAAAGGUUGAACUACAGGCUGAUGCUAAAAAUAAAAGUUGUUUAUCC